This 496-nucleotide ribosomal RNA is filed under the name uncultured bacterium. RNAcentral describes it as "partial 16S ribosomal RNA". It matches the Rfam family "Bacterial small subunit ribosomal RNA", at positions 29 to 523 of the family's 1533-position model. The record is from RNAcentral.
AUUGAACGCUGGCGGCAUGCCUUACACAUGCAAGUCGAACGGUAGAGGGGGCAACCUCUCGAGAGUGGCGAACGGGUGAGUAAAGCAUCGGAACGUGCCCAGUAGUGGGGGAUAGCCCGGCGAAAGCCGGAUUAAUACCGCAUGAGACCUACGGGUGAAAGGGGGGGAUCGCAAGACCUCUCGCUAUUGGAGCGGCCGAUGUCAGAUUAGGUAGUUGGUGGGGUAAAGGCCUACCAAGCCGACGAUCUGUAGCUGGUCUGAGAGGACGACCAGCCACACUGGGACCGAGACACGGCCCAGACUCCUACGGGAGGCAGCAGUGGGGAAUUUUGGACAAUGGGCGAAAGCCUGAUCCAGCCAUGCCGCGUGCGGGAAGAAGGCCUUCGGGUUGUAAACCGCUUUUGUCAGGGAAGAAAUCCUUUGAGUUAAUACCUCGGGGGGAUGACGGUACCUGAAGAAUAAGCACCGGCUAACUACGUGCCAGCCGCCGCCGUAA